GGCAAUGCUCAAGUACCAAAGCUACUUACCCGAUGAGUAUAUCAAAAGUUGGGUAAUGACAUGCUAUUACAUCCUGGAGGGUGUCGCAUGAUGUCCAGACAUGAACACCUCCCAACAGGAACUGGAAGAAUCCUGGCUGGCUUUCCUCUUUGAAAUCUGGGACACCGAACCGAUAGACAUGGCUGUGGUGGUUUGUAAUUUCAGGACAAUCCAAGAGAGAAGUCAAGAAUUCCUGCAGAUUGGCCCACUAAUGGCAAAAGGAACAGAGAUACACGUCCAAGUCAUGAUGGUGUGUGGUAGGAAGAGGAACCAGGAAGUGAUGACUAUCCCUGCAAGAAUGCUGUUCCUUUUUAUUGCUGAUUGGCUGAAAUCAGACAGAAGUGACUUCUAAGCUCCUGAUCUCAUUAUUCCAAGCAAGAACAGAAGAGUUGAAUUCCAGAGGCGAGCUGCAAUUGACUGCCCUUGACACCAUGGCAGCAUUUGACAAAAUGUGGCACCACAGAGUCAGAAUAAAACUGAUGUAA
This is a long non-coding RNA of Chiloscyllium plagiosum (whitespotted bambooshark), 524 nucleotides long. RefSeq lists it as uncharacterized. The record is from RefSeq and is a predicted model, not a curated record. NCBI's taxonomy places the organism in Eukaryota, Metazoa, Chordata, Chondrichthyes, Orectolobiformes, Hemiscylliidae.